Molecule: long non-coding RNA, 2660 nt
Filed under: Capsicum annuum
Lineage: Eukaryota; Viridiplantae; Streptophyta; Magnoliopsida; Solanales; Solanaceae
Description: long non-coding RNA (CANN_LNC002025)
Source: RNAcentral
CCUUUCAGUUCAUGUUUCUGCAUUAUAAAGUAUUUGAUGCAGUAAACAAGUACAAAUAUCAGUCAUGGGUUAGCUUGUGGUCCUUCGGGGUCAUGAGCACCGUUUAGCAUUCCGAGUACCAGAUUUGGGGCGUUACAAUAACCUGUACUAAACUAUAUUUUUGGGCCCUUGGCCUCAGAUUUGCUUCACCGGUAUUAGUUUACAAUUUUUCCUGCGAGGCCCAAAUGAAUGAAUAAAUGAAUAACAAAAUGAAUAAAGACAAGUAAAGCAACAAUAAGAAAAAUGAUACAUUUCAAGUCUCUUAGCUACUCCAACAAUGGGAUUUGACCCAUUUUCUUCUAUCAACAACAAUUUCUUUCUCUAAAAUCAUGCUAAUUUGACGGUCUCGAGGGGAUGACUUAAAAGGGAAAUAGGCCACGUUGGCCAAUCAUCAAAAUGCAUAUGGGAAGAGUCCAUUUAGGACUCAAAAACAAUGUUCCAAAUUCGUUUGACAUGCACCAAAGAAAAUAAUAAGAAUUAAUUAUCAUUUUUAUGAAAUUAAAGAAAGAAGAUAAGCGAAUUAAUGGACUGAACAAAAUGCCAUACCAAGUUAAACGUAAAUGGAACAGGUUAAUAAUAAAAAUGAUAAACCAAAUUAUUUGACCAAGAAAGAAAUAUUAGAACAGGUGAAGAGAUGAGAAUCAUGAAUAUAUUUCCCUGAAAAAGUAAACCCAACAUAAUUCUGGGAAGGGGCUUUUAUCUUGAAUUGGUCCAGUCAUUUCACAAACCACUCUAAAUAGUAGACAUGCUUCACUAAUCUUUUUCCUUUGUUCUAAAAAAAUAACAAAUAUUAAUAAAAUUUCAAGGAUAAUACAAGCUGAACUUCUGAGCUCAAGCAAAACAUGUAAAUUUCAAAAUAGGGGAAAAUGACUUAUUCGCAAUCAAUCUAGCCUAAAUGAGUUCAAUCAACAUUAAGAUGAAACUAUUUGAAGCAAAUGACUAAUAAAGGCUAUAGUUUCCAGAACCUUUCACAUAUAAUGCAACAACAGCAAGGAAUAAAUGUUUGUAAAAAUGUUCUAAAUCAAGAUCUUUCAAGAGUGAGCACUAGUCAUGACAAAGACAUCCCAUGCUUAUUCCUAACUUAAAUGAUUUGAAUUCUAUCAAAAACAUAAUUCUUCUUUGACUUUUAAACACCUAAGAGGUGAGGUAGGAAUAUAAAGAGAAAAAAGUAUGCUAAUGCAGUCAUAAGAUCAAAUGAUCUCAGAUUUCUUUUAAAAAAAUCAAACGCAUGAGAGAUAAGCAACUUGACAAUCUGAGAUCUGGGAGCAAACAAGGAAAUUUGAACUAAUUUUUUCAAAGUUUCCCCUUGAGCAUUACCAAUCCCAUCCUUUCAUGUCCAUAGCUAAAAUAUGGUACAUAUUCAAACCAUAAAGAAACAGAAGGCUAAAAGAAAGACACCAACUAUUUGAAAGUUAUUACGAUGAUCAUGUAAUGAGAAUUUUAAAUCAAUACUUUAAAUCAUGCCAGGUAGAACAUUAGGCCAAAGUCAAAUCUUAGAUUGAACCAAAAAAAAGUGCUAAAGAAGAUUCACAUUUAUUUUAUAUUUUUUAAUCACAUACAGAUGUGAAAUAAUGUCAUUCUUAUGCUUAAAACAAUCAUUCACGCCAAGGAAAUGUUAAAGAUGAAAACUUUUAAAGUAAUACAAUGGUAAAAAACUAGACAUUAGGUAGUCCUAAGUUCGUUCCAUCAUGAUGCUUCAAAAAAAGAACCAAAAAAAUAUUUCAUCUCCUCUUAAUCUAUUAAAAUAUUCCUCGGAGAAUCCUUAACACAAAGAACCUACUCAAUUUCCAUUCUCUAAUGAUUUCGAAGAAUCAAGCGAGAACAGAAUAUCAAUUAUAAGUUGAUUUUUAUCCUUAAACACUAUUACACUCUAAAACACAUAAAUAUUUCAUUUUUAAAUAUUUUAUGAUCCUGAGACAAAGGCAUGAAUUUAGAGCAGUGACAAACAAUUGCAUAACUAUUAUAAAAUUUUAUAUAAAUCCUAUGGCUUUGAGGACUUCUAUAGAAAACAAUCUUAGCAUCAUCACGAUGAAUAAAACAUUACUACUACAAUCGAAUAAAUGAAAAGAAGAAGGAUAAAAUGCAAAAUUCUUAAAAAGGAGGGAGUGUUACCUAUUUCAGAGCAACAAAAUGAGACUCAAGCUUUCGAAGAUAUCUCGACCACCAUCGGAAAUCCUCCGCGACUCCAAGAAACUUCACGUAAUUGAUAAAUUCUCAUGACAAAUAUAUUUUUUACUAGAAAAAUUGACUUUUUUUCUCAAAAAGUUUUUUCAACCCUUCCAGACUUGUCCAAUUUUGCUCCAAAGAGAGCCUUUUAUAGGAAAACUUUUGAAUUGAGUUUUGGGUCCUCAACUCAUGUCGGAUAGACACUUUCAAGGGAAUUUUAGGGAUCUUAAAAAAAGGAGAAAUUUUGAUUGAGGAUGAGGAUAGGGUUUCUAUCGAAAACUUGUACCAAUUUUUGGAUUUUCUAAAGAAAUUUUGAAUGAACUCGACCAAUAACAAUUGGGGAAAAGAAUUAUCCCCCAAUAACCAAUGGAAUUAACCCAUACAGGUAUGAAUUCAUCUAAAUUAUAAAUUAGAGAACCCAUCUCGGCACUCUUUAGAAGAUUCCAAUAUUUUUG